GACAGUCUCUCCCUCCCCGCCCCCGCCCCCGCCCCCGUGUGUGACUGGAGGAUGUUGGGGAAAUUGGGUGAAAGAUAUUGGGUGACGGGGAGAGAGAAGAAGAAGUUGCUACAGAUUAAUAUCAAAUAUCAGUUGUUCAGGUUGUCAACACAUUUCCCUGGAAUGAGAGGAACACUUCAGAAACUGAAAAGGUCUCCUAGUAGAACGAAGCAAGCCCAGCAAGCAGAACCACACGGCAAGACGCUGAGGAGGAGGACAUGAGCGCUGGCUGGUGGCUCUAGGAGCUGACGCCCUGGACAGCUGAUUUCCUAUUUUAAAAGAGUGCCAUCUUGCCUGUCUCCACGCCACCCUCCCAUCCCGUGACCAGUACCUCCUAGCCCCACCGUGCGCGCGCGUGUCCAGCCAGGCCAGCUGGUUGGCUCACGCGGGAGCUUUGUUGAAGCGAACGUUGUGCCUGCAGCACCUUCUGUGUGUGGAAAGAUUGAGUUCCCCCACACCUCCAGCUCAUCCCCUCCCUCCACAUGAAGCCUCCCAAGGACAAGGCUGGUCAUCCUGGACUGAAGAGACCCCUCAUGGCCCAGCCCUGGCUCCCAAGCCUGCCUCACCCGACACUUUCGGGUGGGAAAUGGAGAAUAUAUAUCUCCCCUUCUCCUCUCUCUUCUCUAUGUGGAUAGCCAAUGUCAACCAUCCCCUGAGGUUUCUCUAAGGUCUUUGGAAGACAACGGUUUGCCCUACCAUGGACAGGCUUGGUGCCUUCAGAUGACCAAGAGCAGCAUUUAUAUCACCAGGAUCAGUGGAGUGAGAGCAGAACUUCCCCCACCAGGGCAAAAGUGUAUAUGUUGUUUUAUUGAUUGUUUUAUUCAUUGGCAUACUCACCAAUUUAUCAUUUAUUUAUUUAUUUAUUUAUUUAUUUAUUUAUUUAUUUAUUUAUGGAAUCUGUAUUUAUUAUACAUCAGAAAAUCUACUUCCAUCUUUCAAACGUUAGCCCCAAAUUUAUCUUCUUGGCCCCCACAGAGCACAGUAAAUGAUUCCUCUUUGAAGCCACAAAAAAAAAGAGGGAAAUUCUUCUCCCUAGUCCCAAAUACUUCCACCCCAGCCAGAUUUUCAACCAGAAAUGGGAUCAGAAACUACCAGCCACACAAAUCAGCACAGGCCCAGUAUCCAGGCAGAAACCUGGAGUCUUCCAACCCCUGAUUUUGCACUAUUUUCUCUUCCACACCUUCACAAACUCAUGCAAGACCGACCAGCUGACUCCAGCCCGACUGUUAAGAGUGGACUUCUCAUUCUGCUCUGGGGCAGAAUGCUUGGCACCAGAUGCACAUUAGAAUCAAUGUCAGGAGCUUGAAACCACAUGCCUGGUUUCCAUCUCAGUGUAUCCAUAGCAGAGUCUCCAAAGGGCUGGCAGCAGAGGUCUUUUUAGUAACCCAGAUGAUUCUAACUUGUAAAUGCAGUUGAUAAAAAAGAAAAAAAACCCUUCUACAUCCCCAUCGACCUCCAAGAUCCCUUCCUCCUUUGGUUCACAAGCUUCUUCUGGAGUCCCCAUUCCUCCAAUUCCUUUUCCUCACUAAACCUUCCUCCAUCGGCACCUUCAACCUGAGCAGACCCAAAGAGGUGAUUGGUCCUAAGAGUGACUCCUGAAGCUGAUGCCUGCCCUUGCCUAGCUCUAGAAGCAAAAGCUUUCCCCUUGCCUACGUUCACCUUCCAUCUGCACUCCCCCCCUCCACAUGCCUCCCUCCAAGAGUCUGAAGGUUACAUGGCCAUUCCCAUCUCAGCAUCCUAAUUUUAAGGCAAAGCUCAUUUCAGUCUUUAUAACCCAGGGGUUGGCUGUUUCUGCAGUGCAACAUGAAUUACCUGAGGGCCCACUGGUAACAGGAAAGGGCCAUCCAUAACAGAAAAGGACUAUCCCCCCAACAGUCCUUUACCCAGUGACCUAACAGCAGCCCCCACUCUGGCAUCCAGAUCACAGAUGACUAGAGGAGACUUCUCACCCCUCAUGUUGACAAACAAGUUCUCAAACAAUGAAUAUAAGUGAAGGGGUGUGUGUGUGUGUGUGUGUGUGUGUGUGUGUGUGUGUGUGUACUGCCUUCAUCUAAACAGGCAUCUAUGGAGAUGCUGAACUUCAACUUUACAGUAUGGACCUUUACCUGAAAACGAUCAAGAACUUGUGCUGUCCUGCACUCAGUGGAUUCACUGUGCUCCUUUCCUCAAGGGCCCAAGUGAACUCCAGAGUUGCGGUCCCUGCAGAACAAUGUAAUGUCUAGGAACUGUUGGGUGUGUUAGAGAGAGUGUGUAUGUUGUAUGCACAAUACAGUGCCCCAGCAUAGUAAGAGUUCAUUUUCCUACCCACCCCCCUCCGGCAUCUAAGCAGGUUCCCAGAGCAAGUAGACUUCUCCUGCAUUCAUAGCACCAUGCCUUCUUGCCCCAUUUAAUCAGACUGUCCUGCACCAAGUCCCAUCUCUCAGGGUCCUGCUCUCUGAUAGGCAACAGUUCAGUCAGUGGGUGCUAAAGAGUUGAGUGUUACACUUCUUAGGUGACAUUUACCUUUUAAUUGGGGCUAUAGACAAUGCCUUAAUCUGAAGGAAUAGCUUGAAUGCUGGGAAUUUCAGGUGCAGAAGUGGGCCAGUAAGAGAGAUUAUUUUUUUCUCAGGAGGGCAUUUUAGAGCCUCCCCUCCCCCAUACGUAUCUCUAAAGUCAGCUCAUAAGUACAUGAGCUUGAGCAAGCACACUUACCUACAUCCACAUCCCAUAAUUUUGAAAUACCUCCCUUGCAUUGGCCCCAUCUUUAAAAAUAAAAAAAAAAAUUAAAAAG
This is a long non-coding RNA of Peromyscus californicus insignis, 2809 nucleotides long. RefSeq lists it as uncharacterized. The record is from RefSeq and is a predicted model, not a curated record. The transcript has 2 exons. Lineage: Eukaryota; Metazoa; Chordata; Mammalia; Rodentia; Cricetidae.